Molecule: ribosomal RNA, 465 nt
Filed under: Vreelandella stevensii
Lineage: Bacteria; Pseudomonadati; Pseudomonadota; Gammaproteobacteria; Oceanospirillales; Halomonadaceae
Description: partial 16S ribosomal RNA
Rfam family: Bacterial small subunit ribosomal RNA
Source: RNAcentral
CCUACGGGCGGCUGCAGUGGGGAAUAUUGGACAAUGGGCGAAAGCCUGAUCCAGCCAUGCCGCGUGUGUGAAGAAGGCCUUCGGGUUGUAAAGCACUUUCAGUGGGGAAGAAAGCCUUGGGGCUAAUACCCUCGAGGAAGGACAUCACCCACAGAAGAAGCACCGGCUAACUCCGUGCCAGCAGCCGCGGUAAUACGGAGGGUGCGAGCGUUAAUCGGAAUUACUGGGCGUAAAGCGCGCGUAGGCGGUCUGAUAAGCCGGUUGGGAAAGCCCCGGGCUCAACCUGGGAACGGCAUCCGGAACUGUCAGGCUAGAGUGCAGGAGAGGAAGGUAGAAUUCCCGGUGUAGCGGUGAAAUGCGUAGAGAUCGGGAGGAAUACCAGUGGCGAAGGCGGCCUUCUGGACUGACACUGACGCUGAGGUGCGAAAGCGUGGGUAGCAAACAGGAUUAGAUACCCCGGUAGUC